UACGCCCGAUCUCGUCCGAUCUCGGAAGCUAAGCAGGGUCGGGCCUGGUUAGUACUUGGAUGGGAGACCGCCUGGGAAUACCAGGUGCUGUCAGCUU
Molecule: ribosomal RNA, 97 nt
Filed under: Triportheus nematurus
Lineage: Eukaryota; Metazoa; Chordata; Actinopteri; Characiformes; Triportheidae
Source: RNAcentral